CGAUAGCGUAUAUUAAAGUUGUUGCAGUUAAAAAGCUCGUAGUUGGACCUUGGACCUGGACAGGCGGUCCGCCUCACGGCGAGUACUGUCUUGCUGGGUCUUUCCUCUUGGUGAUCUGUUGUUUCGGCAGCAGGGAACCAGGACCUUUACUUUGAGAAAAUUAGAGUGUUUCAGGCAGGCUAGGCCGGAAUACAUUAGCAUGGAAUAAUGGAACAGGACUAUGGUCUCUUUGUUGGUUUGAGGGACUGCAGUAAUGAUUAAUAGGGACAGUUGGGGGCAUUAGUAUUUAAUUGUCAGAGGUGGAAUUCUCAGAUUUGUUAAAGACUAACUUAUGCGAAAGCAUUUGCCAAGGAUGUUUUCAUUAA
This 365-nucleotide ribosomal RNA is filed under the name uncultured eukaryote. RNAcentral's name for it is "partial 18S ribosomal RNA". It matches the Rfam family "Eukaryotic small subunit ribosomal RNA", at positions 592 to 976 of the family's 1831-position model. The record is from RNAcentral.